AUUAAGUUAGUUUAAUAUAGAACAUUAGAUUGUGGAUCUAAAAAUAAAAGAUUUUUUACUUAAUC
RNAcentral lists this transfer RNA (65 nucleotides) under Pomacea maculata. RNAcentral's name for it is "tRNA-His". It matches the Rfam family "tRNA". From Rfam's summary of the family: Transfer RNA (tRNA) molecules are approximately 80 nucleotides in length. Their secondary structure includes four short double-helical elements and three loops (D, anti-codon, and T loops). Lineage: Eukaryota; Metazoa; Mollusca; Gastropoda; Architaenioglossa; Ampullariidae. The record is from RNAcentral.